GACGAACGCUGGCGGCGUGCUUAACACAUGCAAGUCGAGCGGUAAGGCCCUUUCGGGGGGUACACGAGCGGCGAACGGGUGAGUAACACGUGGGUGACCUGCCCUCAGCUCUGGGGAUAAGCCUGGGGAAACUGGGUCUAAUACUGGAUAUGACUCCACGGUGCAUGUCGUGGGGUGGAAAGCCUUGUGCGGCUGAGGAUGGGCCCGCGGCCUAUCAGCUUGUUGGUGGGGUGANGGCCUACCAAGGCGACGACGGGUAGCCGGCCUGAGAGGGCGACCGGCCACACUGGGACUGAGACACGGCCCAGACGUCCUACGGGGGCAGCAGUGGGGGAAUCUUGCGCAAUGGGCGAAAGCCUGACGCAGCGACGCCGCGUGA
This 379-nucleotide ribosomal RNA is filed under the name uncultured bacterium. RNAcentral's name for it is "bacterial SSU rRNA". It matches the Rfam family "Bacterial small subunit ribosomal RNA", at positions 28 to 404 of the family's 1533-position model. The record is from RNAcentral.